GGGAAGAACAAGUACAAGAGUAACUGCUUGUACCUUGACGGUACCUAACCAGAAAGCCACGGCUAACUACGUGCCAGCAGCCGCGGUAAUACGUAGGUGGCAAGCGUUAUCCGGAAUUAUUGGGCGUAAAGCGCGCGCAGGCGGUUUCUUAAGUCUGAUGUGAAAGCCCACGGCUCAACCGUGGAGGGUCAUUGGAAACUGGGGAACUUGAGUGCAGAAGAGAAAAGCGGAAUUCCACGUGUAGCGGUGAAAUGCGUAGAGAUGUGGAGGAACACCAGUGGCGAAGGCGGCUUUUUGGUCUGUAACUGACGCUGAGGCGCGAAAGCGUGGGGAGCAAACAGGAUUAGAUACCCUGGUAGUCCACGCCGUAAACGAUGAGUGCUAAGUGUUAGAGGGUUUCCGCCCUUUAGUGCUGCAGCUAACGCAUUAAGCACUCCGCCUGGGGAGUACGGUCGCAAGACUG
This 463-nucleotide ribosomal RNA is filed under the name uncultured Bacillota bacterium. Its description in RNAcentral is "bacterial SSU rRNA". It matches the Rfam family "Bacterial small subunit ribosomal RNA", at positions 442 to 896 of the family's 1533-position model. Lineage: Bacteria; Bacillati; Bacillota. The record is from RNAcentral.